CGGCACGCCUAACACAUGCAAGUCGAACGAAGUAGCAAUACUUAGUGGCAGACGGGUGAGUAACAUGUAGGUAUCUACCCUUUGGCCUGGAAUAACACGAGGAAACUUGUGCUAAUACUGGAUAAGUCUUUACGGAGAAAGCUUUAUGCACCAUUGGAUGAGCCUGCACUUGAUUAGUUUGUUGGUAGGGUAAUGGCCUACCAAGACUUUGAUCAAUAGCUGAUUUGAGAGGAUGAUCAGCCACAUUGGGACUGAGACACGGCCCAAACUCCUACGGGAGGCAGCAGUGGGGAAUCUUGCACAAUGGAGGAAACUCUGAUGCAGCGAUGCCGCGUGAGUGAAGAAGGCCUUUGGGUUGUAAAGCUCUUUCGUCGGGGAAGAAAAUGACUGUACCCGAAUAAGAAGGUCCGGCUAACU
This 417-nucleotide ribosomal RNA is filed under the name uncultured Pelagibacterales bacterium. RNAcentral describes it as "bacterial SSU rRNA". It matches the Rfam family "Bacterial small subunit ribosomal RNA", at positions 40 to 502 of the family's 1533-position model. The record is from RNAcentral. Lineage: Bacteria; Pseudomonadati; Pseudomonadota; Alphaproteobacteria; Candidatus Pelagibacterales.